Molecule: ribosomal RNA, 434 nt
Filed under: uncultured bacterium
Lineage: Bacteria
Description: bacterial SSU rRNA
Rfam family: Bacterial small subunit ribosomal RNA
Source: RNAcentral
GGGCCCGCACAAGCGGUGGAGUAUGUGGUUUAAUUCGAUGCAACGCGAAGAACCUUACCAGGGUUUGACAUCCUGCGAAUCUCUUGGAAACAGGAGAGUGCCUUCGGGAAUUGUGAUACAGGUGCUGCAUGGCUGUCGUCAGCUCGUGUCGUGAGAUGUUGGGUUAAGUCCCGCAACGAGCGCAACCCUUGUCCUUAGUUACCAGCGGGUUAAGCCGGGAACUCUAAGGAUACUGCCAGUGACAAACUGGAGGAAGGCGGGGACGACGUCAAGUCAUCAUGGCCCUUACGACCAGGGCUACACACGUGCUACAAUGGUAGGUACAGAGGGCAGCUACACAGCGAUGUGAUGCGAAUCUCAAAAAGCCUAUCGUAGUCCAGAUUGGAGUCUGCAACUCGACUCCAUGAAGUAGGAAUCGCUAGUAAUCGCGGAUC